UACGUAGGAGACUAGCGUUGUCCGGAAUUACUGGGUGUAAAGCGCGUGUAGGCGGCAUACCAAGUCUGUUGUGAAAUCGCCCGGCUCAACUGGGCGGGGUCAAUGGAAACUGGUAAGCUGGAGGACGGUAGAGGCGAGUGGAAUUCCCGGUGUAGUGGUGAAAUGCGUAGAGAUCGGGAGGAACACCUGUGGCGAAGGCGGCUCGCUGGGCCGAGCCUGACGCUGAGACGCGAAGGCGUGGGGAGCGAACGGG
This 253-nucleotide ribosomal RNA is filed under the name uncultured bacterium. RNAcentral's name for it is "partial 16S ribosomal RNA". It matches the Rfam family "Bacterial small subunit ribosomal RNA", at positions 524 to 776 of the family's 1533-position model. The record is from RNAcentral.